AACGAACGCUGGCGGCAUGCCUAACACAUGCAAGUCGAACGAAGGCUUCGGCCUUAGUGGCGCACGGGUGCGUAACGCGUGGGAAUCUGCCCUUUGGUUCGGAAUAACAGCUGGAAACGGCUGCUAAUACCGGAUGAUGACGAAAGUCCAAAGAUUUAUCGCCAGAGGAUGAGCCCGCGUUGGAUUAGGUAGUUGGUGGGGUAAAGGCCUACCAAGCCGACGAUCCAUAGUUGGUCUGAGAGGAUGAUCAGCCACACUGGGACUGAGACACGGCCCAGACUCCUACGGGAAGCAGCAGUGGGGAAUAUUGGACAAUGGGCGCAAGCCUGAUCCAGCAAUGCCGCGUGAGUGAUGAAGGCCCUAGGGUUGUAAAGCUCUUUUACCCGGGAAGAUAAUGACUGUACCGGGAGAAUAAGCCCCGGCUAACUCCGUG
This 433-nucleotide ribosomal RNA is filed under the name uncultured bacterium. Its description in RNAcentral is "partial 16S ribosomal RNA". It matches the Rfam family "Bacterial small subunit ribosomal RNA", at positions 29 to 507 of the family's 1533-position model. The record is from RNAcentral.